UGGACCAUCCAAAUGAUUCA
Molecule: non-coding RNA, 20 nt
Filed under: Arabidopsis thaliana (thale cress)
Lineage: Eukaryota; Viridiplantae; Streptophyta; Magnoliopsida; Brassicales; Brassicaceae
Source: RNAcentral